Molecule: ribosomal RNA, 433 nt
Filed under: uncultured bacterium
Lineage: Bacteria
Description: partial 16S ribosomal RNA
Rfam family: Bacterial small subunit ribosomal RNA
Source: RNAcentral
AACGAACGCUGGCGGCAUGCCUAACACAUGCAAGUCGAACGAGACCUUCGGGUCUAGUGGCGCACGGGUGCGUAACGCGUGGGAACCUGCCCUUAGGUUCGGAAUAACUCCCCGAAAGGGGUGCUAAUACCGGAUAAUGUCUUCGGACCAAAGAUUUAUCGCCUUUGGAUGGGCCCGCGUUGGAUUAGCUAGUUGGUAGGGUAAAAGCCUACCAAGGCGACGAUCCAUAGCUGGUCUGGGAGGAUGAUCAGCCACACUGGGACUGAGACAUGGCCCAGACUCCUACGGGAGGCAGCAGUGGGGAAUAUUGGACAAUGGGCGAAAGCCUGAUCCAGCAAUGCCGCGUGAGUGAUGAAGGCCUUAGGGUUGUAAAGCUCUUUUACCCGGGAUGAUAAUGACAGUACCGGGAGAAUAAGCGCCGGCUAACUCCGUG